AGUGGUUAUCCUUGGAAGGAAUGACUGUUAUUAAUUUCCUAAUCCACUGAUGAGCACAUGGGUGCUCUUUUUUUGUUGUUGUUAAAGCUUUUAAAAGUUUCAACCAUUUUAUUUCUUUCUUAAUUUGUAUUUAUUUAUUUUAGUAUUUUGGCUGUACUGUGAGGCAUGCUGGAUGGUUCUUCAACCAGGGAUGGAACCUGGACCUCUGCAUUGAAAGUGCUGAGUUCUAACCAGUAAGACACCAAGGAACUCCCAGGUGGUCAUUUUUAUUUUUAUAUUAUAUGUGCUAUAUUCUUGUGUGUGCAUGAAAAAUAAUUUUUUAUGGUGGUUAAAUGUACGUGACAUAAAGCUUAGCAUUUUAACCAUUUUUAGCUGUACAAUAUAGUGGCACUAUUUAAGUGAUUCACACUGUUAUGCAGCCAUCCACUAUUAUCCAUUUCCAGAACUUUUUCAUCAUCCCAAACUGUACUUUUGGCGUCACAUCCAAGAAAUAGUGGCCAGAUCCAAUAUCAUGAAGCCUUAACCCUGUGUUUUCUUCUACGAGUUUCAGCUCUUACAGUUAGGUCUUUAAUCCAUUUUAAGUUCAUUUUUAUUUAUGGUAUGAUAAGAGUCCAACAUCAUUCUUUUGCAGGAUUGUACGUUUUAAAAGAGAAAGCAGAGAAUCAGAGCAUAUUAGAAGGGGUCCUUCCCCAUUUACGAAUGAAAACACGGGUAGAAAUAAAAUGAUAAGCCAAGCCCACACAUCUGAUUCAGUACCAGCUGACCGAAAGCCUAACCCUAUUUUCAGUGCACCAGAUAACUGCGCAGGCGGCGAAGCACCCGGCGCGCGAACCCCGAGUUCGGAUCCGCCCCUCGGCGGCGCGCUCGCUCUUAGGUAGCUUUCAAGCACUGGCUCCUCCCUUCCCCAACCCGGGGGCGGGCCCUGGCGGAAAACUUGCGCGGCGGACGGAUAGGCAGGAAAACCAGGUAAGAAUGUAGCGUCUCGGAGGGGCGGGGGCCGUCAGCAACUGGUUGUAAGACGUGGACUCCAGCUCUGUUCUCGCACAUUCCAGGCUGCAUUUUCUCUAGCGCUUUGGGAUGGGGAGGAGCCCUGGCCCGCAGACUUCUAAGGCCUGGGGGCCGGGGCCGGGGGCCUGGAGGCGGGGCUAGGGUGGGCGGGGCCGGGGCCGGGCUGGGGAUAGGGGCGGGGCCGGAGUCGAGGGGCGGGGCGCGGCGUGCCGGCAUGCUCGUCCCGGAUUGGCCGCCGGGGAGUAGCGCGAGGCUUGGCGGGAGUUUUUGCGUCGGCGGCAAGCGCGGCGGGCUGGAAUGGAUCGGCCGCGGCCCGCCCGGCUGUCGCAUGCGAGAUUUUCGAAGAACCAUGCAGGAAGAACACAUUCCGUGAAAGAUGUAAGUUAUCGUUUUAUAUUUUAAUAUAAUGCUCGUAAUUGAAAAUGCAAAAUAACAUUGUGUGGGAGACUCAGUAUUCCGUAGACUCAGUAAGCUC
Molecule: long non-coding RNA, 1483 nt
Filed under: Cervus hanglu yarkandensis (Yarkand deer)
Lineage: Eukaryota; Metazoa; Chordata; Mammalia; Artiodactyla; Cervidae
Description: lncRNA (ENSCHYG00000009189.1)
Source: RNAcentral